CCCUUAGAUGUUCUGGGCUGCACGCGUGUUACAAUCGGGAGUACAACAAGAUUGCAAAUCCCAGUGGAUGAGUGGUUCUUCGAAAUUUUCUGAAGACUGGGAUAGUUGAUUGAAAUUAUUCAACUCGAACGAGGAAUUCCUUGUAAUUGUAAUUCAUUAUAUUGUAAUGAAUACGUCCCUGCCCGUUGUACACACCGCCCGUCGCUCCUACCGAUUGAACGAUCCGGUGAAUUAUUUGGAGUAGCUCUGGAAGUUGCAGAACUUCCUAUGUCACGAAAUUUUGUAAACCUUAUCGUUUAGAGGAAGGAAAAGUCGUAACA
RNAcentral lists this ribosomal RNA (320 nucleotides) under uncultured eukaryote. Its description in RNAcentral is "partial 18S ribosomal RNA". It matches the Rfam family "Eukaryotic small subunit ribosomal RNA", at positions 1470 to 1796 of the family's 1831-position model. The record is from RNAcentral.